RNAcentral lists this ribosomal RNA (489 nucleotides) under uncultured bacterium. RNAcentral's name for it is "bacterial SSU rRNA". It matches the Rfam family "Bacterial small subunit ribosomal RNA", at positions 28 to 518 of the family's 1533-position model. The record is from RNAcentral.
GAUGAACGCUAGCGGCAGGCUUAACACAUGCAAGUCGAGGGGUAUUGGUUUUCGGACCAAGAGACCGGCGCACGGGUGCGUAACGCGUAUGCAAUCUACCUUUUGCAGAGGGAUAGCCCCAGAGAAAUUUGGAUUAAUACCUCAUAGUAUAGUACUUUGGCAUCAAGGAACUAUUAAAGUCACAACGGCAAAGAUGAGCAUGCGUCCCAUUAGCUAGUUGGUAAGGUAACGGCUUACCAAGGCUACGAUGGGUAGGGGUCCUGAGAGGGAGAUCCCCCACACUGGUACUGAGACACGGACCAGACUCCUACGGGAGGCAGCAGUGAGGAAUAUUGGACAAUGGGCGCAAGCCUGAUCCAGCCAUGCCGCGUGCAGGAUGACGGUCCUAUGGAUUGUAAACUGCUUUUAUACAGGAAGAAACACUACUUCGUGAAGUAGCUUGACGGUACUGUAAGAAUAAGGAUCGGCUAACUCCGUGCCAGCAGCCGC